GACGAACGCUGGCGGCGUGCUUAACACAUGCAAGUCGAACGGUAAGGCCCUUCGGGGUACACGAGUGGCGAACGGGUGAGUAACACGUGGGUGAUCUGCCCUGCACUUCGGGAUAAGCCUGGGAAACUGGGUCUAAUACCGGAUAGGACUCCUGCCUGCAUGGGUGGGGGUGGAAAGCUUUUGCGGUGUGGGAUGGGCCCGCGGCCUAUCAGCUUGUUGGUGGGGUGAUGGCCUACCAAGGCGACGACGGGUAGCCGGCCUGAGAGGGUGACCGGCCACACUGGGACUGAGAUACGGCCCAGACUCCUACGGGAGGCAGCAGUGGGGAAUAUUGCACAAUGGGCGCAAGCCUGAUGCAGCGACGCCGCGUGAGGGAUGACGGCCUUCGGGUUGUAAACCUCUCAGCACAGACGAAGCGCAAGUGACGGUAUGUGCAGAAGAAGGACCGGCCAACUACGUGCCAGCCGCCGCAGUAA
This 476-nucleotide ribosomal RNA is filed under the name uncultured bacterium. RNAcentral's name for it is "partial 16S ribosomal RNA". It matches the Rfam family "Bacterial small subunit ribosomal RNA", at positions 28 to 523 of the family's 1533-position model. The record is from RNAcentral.